Molecule: long non-coding RNA, 275 nt
Filed under: Mytilus galloprovincialis (Mediterranean mussel)
Lineage: Eukaryota; Metazoa; Mollusca; Bivalvia; Mytilida; Mytilidae
Source: RNAcentral
GGUAUAAAUUGACCCAAAGAGACCUUAUAAAGAAGACAAAGAGGUUUAUUAGUGGUAUUUUAUCUUCCUAAAAUCAUCUUGUGUAUCAUUUUCAACUGUUUGUAGGCAGAUAAGAUAGAUAUUUGAUCAUUUAUUGGUCCACACUCUAUUCUAUCUUGAUGCGGCUUGGUUUGGAUUUGUCGAAGAAAUUUUGCUCGAAUCGCUGUAGAUGUCGUCUUUCAAUAUACUAGAUUUUUCUCAAACUAUUGAACUGAUUAUGACAAAACUUGACAGAA